CCUACGGGAGGCAGCAGUGAGGAAUAUUGGUCAAUGGACGCGAGCCUGAACCAGCCAAGUAGCGUGAAGGAUGACUGCCCUACGGGUUGUAAACUUCUUUUAUAAAGGAAUAAAAUGAGGCACGUGUGCCUUUUUGUAUGUACUUUAUGAAUAAGGAUCGGCUAACUCCGUGCCAGCAGCCGCGGUAAUACGGAGGAUCCGAGCGUUAUCCGGAUUUAUUGGGUGUAAAGGGAGCGUAGAUGGGUUGUUAAGUUAGUUGUGAAAGUUUGCGGCUCAACCGGAAAAGUGCAAUUGAUACUGGGAGUCUUGAGUGCAGUAGAGGUAGGCGGAAUUCGUGGUGUAGCGGUGAAAUGCUUAGAUAUCAGGAAGAACACCGAUUGCGAAGGCAGCUUACUGGACUGCCACUGACGUUGAGGCUCGAAAGCGUGGGUAUCAAACAGGAUUAGAUACCCUUGUAGUC
Molecule: ribosomal RNA, 460 nt
Filed under: uncultured bacterium
Lineage: Bacteria
Description: partial 16S ribosomal RNA
Rfam family: Bacterial small subunit ribosomal RNA
Source: RNAcentral